This 73-nucleotide transfer RNA is filed under the name Myersiohyla neblinaria. RNAcentral's name for it is "Myersiohyla sp. JF-2013b tRNA-Leu". It matches the Rfam family "tRNA". Rfam says of the family: Transfer RNA (tRNA) molecules are approximately 80 nucleotides in length. Their secondary structure includes four short double-helical elements and three loops (D, anti-codon, and T loops). The record is from RNAcentral. Lineage: Eukaryota; Metazoa; Chordata; Amphibia; Anura; Hylidae.
GUUAACGUAGCAAAAUUUGGGAUUGCAAAAGAUCUAAGCCCUUUUAAUAGAGGUUCAAAUCCUCUCAUUAACU